RNAcentral lists this ribosomal RNA (429 nucleotides) under Chloroflexota bacterium. RNAcentral describes it as "Chloroflexi bacterium partial 16S ribosomal RNA". It matches the Rfam family "Bacterial small subunit ribosomal RNA", at positions 355 to 776 of the family's 1533-position model. RNAcentral also lists the same sequence under 1 other name. Lineage: Bacteria; Bacillati; Chloroflexota. The record is from RNAcentral.
UGGGGAAUAUUGCACAAUGGGCGCAAGCCUGAUGCAGCCAUGCCGCGUGUAUGAAGAAGGCCUUCGGGUUGUAAAGUACUUUCAGCGGGGAGGAAGGGAGUAAAGUUAAUACCUUUGCUCAUUGACGUUACCCGCAGAAGAAGCACCGGCUAACUCCGUGCCAGCAGCCGCGGUAAUACGGAGGGUGCAAGCGUUCAUCGGAAUUACUGGGCGUAAAGCGCACGCAGGCGGUUUGUUAAGUCAGAUGUGAAAUCCCCGGGCUCAACCUGGGAACUGCAUCUGAUACUGGCAAGCUUGAGUCUCGUAGAGGGGGGUAGAAUUCCAGGUGUAGCGGUGAAAUGCGUAGAGAUCUGGAGGAAUACCGGUGGCGAAGGCGGCCCCCUGGACGAAGACUGACGCUCAGGUGCGAAAGCGUGGGGAGCAAACAGG